This is a long non-coding RNA of Passer domesticus (house sparrow), 795 nucleotides long. RefSeq lists it as uncharacterized. The record is from RefSeq and is a predicted model, not a curated record. The transcript has 3 exons. NCBI's taxonomy places the organism in Eukaryota, Metazoa, Chordata, Aves, Passeriformes, Passeridae.
CACUGGGAAUUUUACUCAGCCAGGUGUCCUGCUGCCCUGCUGAGCCACAAACACUGAGCACAACCUGCCAGGGGAAUGUUUGCAUUGUGGCUUUGCCUUCGAAUCAAAAGGUGUUAAAGAUGUCAUUGAAGAGCUUAGAAUAGUGACUAAGCAAUUUCUAUACUUCAGUCUCUCAAGGCCUAACUUAGUCAUAUGGCCUCCUGCAGGUAUGCCUAAUAACUCCAGCCCCAGAGCCUGUAUCUUUUCACACCUUUUUACCAAGAAGGAAGCAUUGUCUUUGAUUGUCCAUCAGCCCUAAUCCUUUCUCAGCAUGAAGCUUGUUAGCAUAAUUGGAGAGAAGAAACCAAAAAGGAAAGAAAAGGAAAAUCCAUCAAAGAACGGUGCAUGGGGAAAUCAAAUAUCAAAUGCUUCCUGCUUCCAAGAAGAGAUGUAAUAUUCUGUGAAUGACUGACCUGGCUCUGACCUUGAUCAUGGGAGGCAAAACUCACAGCUGGGUAACACAUGGUGACUUGAACAGACUAGAGAACCAAGAACAAAAAAUACCAAAAAAAUUUGCUUCUUGGAAAACUAGAGAGACAGGCAACCAACAGUAAAUAUCUAUGAAAACCUGAGACUGAACAAGUGAGAGACCAGCAAAUUCAAAGACUUUCAGGUAAAUUCCACUAAUGAAACAGAACAUUCAACCUACGAGGCCAGUUUGGUGCCAUGGGAUGUUCAGUGCCUUGGCAGAAGUCCUCUGCCCUGCAAGCACAGCACCCUGCUGCACAGGGAACUGUACUGAACUCUGUCCUAACA